AGGGAAUAUUGCGCAAUGGGCGAAAGCCUGACGCAGCAAUACCGCGUGAGUGAGGAAGGUCUUAGGAUUGUAAAGCUCUGUCGGGAUGGAAAAAUGGCGUAGAUUCGAAUAGGGUUUACGAUUGAUGGUACAUCCAAAGGAAGCACCGGCUAACUUCGUGCCAGCAGCCGCGGUAAUACGAAGGGUGCAAGCGUUGUUCGGAUUUAUUGGGCGUAAAGCGCGCGCAGGCGGGUGAUUAAGUCAGAUGUGAAAUCUCAGGGCUCAACCCUGAAACUGCGUCUGAAACUGGUUAUCUAGAAUAUCGGAGAGGGAAGGGGAAUUUCACAUGUAGGGGUAAAAUCCGUAGAUAUGUGAAGGAAUACCAGAGGCGAAGGCGCCUUCCUGGACGAUUAUUGACGCUGAGGCGCGAAAGCGUGGGGAGCAAAC
This 426-nucleotide ribosomal RNA is filed under the name uncultured bacterium. RNAcentral's name for it is "bacterial SSU rRNA". It matches the Rfam family "Bacterial small subunit ribosomal RNA", at positions 356 to 773 of the family's 1533-position model. The record is from RNAcentral.